RNAcentral lists this non-coding RNA (142 nucleotides) under Streptomyces yokosukanensis. Its description in RNAcentral is "SAM-I sequence". It matches the Rfam family "SAM riboswitch aptamer (S box leader)". From Rfam's summary of the family: The SAM riboswitch is found upstream of a number of genes which code for proteins involved in methionine or cysteine biosynthesis in Gram-positive bacteria. The SAM riboswitch acts at the level of transcription termination control. The predicted structure consists of a complex stem-loop region followed by a single stem loop terminator region. The record is from Rfam by way of RNAcentral. Lineage: Bacteria; Bacillati; Actinomycetota; Actinomycetes; Kitasatosporales; Streptomycetaceae.
CGCUCAUCCAGAGGGGCAGAGGGACACGGCCCGAUGAAGCCCCGGCAACCCUCCAGCCGGUCUCGUUCUCGAAGCGAGGCUCCCGGCUAGGGAAGGUGCCAAAUCCGUCUCAUGGCGAGAUGCGCCAUGAGGAAGAUGAGGA